GUCGGGAAUUUUGCCCAAUGGACGAAAGUCUGAGGCAGCAACUCCGCGUGAGGGACGAAGGCUCUAGGGUCGUAAACCUCUUUUCUCAGGGAAGAUCCAAGACGGUACCUGAGGAAUAAGCCACGGCUAACUACGUGCCAGCAGCCGCGGUAAUACGUAGGUGGCAAGCGUUGUCCGGAUUUACUGGGCGUAAAGAGCGCGCAGGCGGCUGGUCAAGUCCGAUGUGAAAUCUCCCGGCUCAACUGGGAAACUGCAUCGGAAACUGAUCGGCUUGAAGGUGGGAGAGGGCAGUGGAAUUCCCGGUGUAGUGGUGAAAUGCGUAGAUAUCGGGAGGAACACCAGUGGCGAAGGCGACUGCCUGGCCCAUUCUUGACGCUGAGGCGCGAAAGCUAGGGGAGCAAACGGGAUUAGAAACCCCUGUAGUCC
This 426-nucleotide ribosomal RNA is filed under the name uncultured bacterium. Its description in RNAcentral is "bacterial SSU rRNA". It matches the Rfam family "Bacterial small subunit ribosomal RNA", at positions 354 to 796 of the family's 1533-position model. The record is from RNAcentral.